RNAcentral lists this ribosomal RNA (712 nucleotides) under uncultured bacterium. Its description in RNAcentral is "bacterial SSU rRNA". It matches the Rfam family "Bacterial small subunit ribosomal RNA", at positions 104 to 810 of the family's 1533-position model. The record is from RNAcentral.
GGGUGAGUAAUACAUCGGAACGUGUCCGCUCGUGGGGGACAACCAGCCGAAAGGUUGGCUAAUACCGCAUGAGUUCUACGGAAGAAAGAGGGGGACCCGCAAGGGCCUCUCGCGAGCGGAGCGGCCGAUGACUGAUUAGCCGGUUGGUGAGGUAACGGCUCACCAAAGCAACGAUCAGUAGCUGGUCUGAGAGGACGACCAGCCACACUGGGACUGAGACACGGCCCAGACUCCUACGGGAGGCAGCAGUGGGGAAUUUUGGACAAUGGGCGCAAGCCUGAUCCAGCUAUUCCGCGUGUGGGAUGAAGGCCCUCGGGUUGUAAACCACUUUUGUAGAGAACGAAAAGACACCUUCGAAUAAAGGGUGUUGCUGACGGUACUCUAAGAAUAAGCACCGGCUAACUACGUGCCAGCAGCCGCGGUAAUACGUAGGGUGCGAGCGUUAAUCGGAAUUACUGGGCGUAAAGGGUGCGCAGGCGGUUGAGUAAGACAGAUGUGAAAUCCCCGAGCUUAACUCGGGAAUGGCAUAUGUGACUGCUCGACUAGAGUGUGUCAGAGGGAGGUGGAAUUCCACGUGUAGCAGUGAAAUGCGUAGAUAUGUGGAAGAACACCGAUGGCGAAGGCAGCCUCCUGGGACAUAACUGACGCUCAGGCACGAAAGCGUGGGGAGCAAACAGGAUUACAUACCCUGGUAGUCCACGCCCUAAACGAU